RNAcentral lists this Y RNA (109 nucleotides) under Carlito syrichta (Philippine tarsier). RNAcentral describes it as "Y RNA (ENSTSYG00000029515.1)". It matches the Rfam family "Y RNA". Rfam says of the family: Y RNAs are components of the Ro ribonucleoprotein particle (Ro RNP), in association with Ro60 and La proteins. The Y RNAs and Ro60 and La proteins are well conserved, but the function of the Ro RNP is not known. Lineage: Eukaryota; Metazoa; Chordata; Mammalia; Primates; Tarsiidae. The record is from Rfam by way of RNAcentral.
GGCUGGUCUGAAGGUGGCGAGUUAUCUCAAUUGUUCACAGUCAGUUACAGCUUGAACUCCUUAUUCUACUCUCUCCCCUUUUCUCACUAUUGCACUUGACUGGUCUUAA